UGGGGAAUAUUGCACAAUGGGCGAAAGCCUGAUGCAGCCAUGCCGCGUGUGUGAAGAAGGCCUUCGGGUUGUAAAGCACUUUCAGUUGUGAGGAAAGGGGUGUAGUUAAUAGCUACAUCCUAUGACGUUAGCAACAGAAGAAGCACCGGCUAACUCCGUGCCAGCAGCCGCGGUAAUACGGAGGGUGCGAGCGUUAAUCGGAAUUACUGGGCGUAAAGCGUGCGUAGGCGGUUUGUUAAGCAAGAUGUGAAAGCCCAGGGCUCAACCUUGGAACUGCAUUUUGAACUGGCAAACUAGAGUACUGUAGAGGGUGGUGGAAUUUCCAGUGUAGCGGUGAAAUGCGUAGAGAUUGGAAGGAACAUCAGUGGCGAAGGCGGCCACCUGGACAGAUACUGACGCUGAGGCACGAAAGCGUGGGGAGCAAACAGG
Molecule: ribosomal RNA, 429 nt
Filed under: uncultured bacterium
Lineage: Bacteria
Description: bacterial SSU rRNA
Rfam family: Bacterial small subunit ribosomal RNA
Source: RNAcentral